UCCUCCUCCGCAGAACCCCGCCUCCACUCACUCCUCCUCCGCCUCCAGCGCCACCUCGUAUCUCCUCAAUCCCGACAUGUCCUGGGUUCCGAGCGUCUCCUGGGGAGAGGCAUGAUUGGAUCAAGUAUUCCCCAGUCCCAGGUACCCUUCUCCGUCAUUCUCGGGACGAAUCUGACCAGGUCGCAGACAUUCAAUCAACAGCUAUGUACUGAGUGUCUACUCCAUGCCAGGCACUGUGAUGAACAUAGGGAUAUAGUAUUAAAGAAUUACAGGCAGUCUCCACCCUCGAAGAACCAUCAUCUGGGGUACAGCUGGGAUAGUCAAAAGAAGCUGGGAUAGAUCAUUAUAAUAAAUGGAACAGACUGGCUGGGGAAGGUAGAGAGUGCUUCACCAGAGCCAAGAAGGGCAAUUAACCCAUUGUAGGGGUUUGGAAAUAGCUGCCUCAGAUCUCUGACAUUCCAACCAAGUUCCACUACUCACCCAGUUUGUCUGGGAGAGGCAGAAGAGAAUCUUGUGGCUGAACUGAUUGUAUGGGAGAGAAUGACUCAAAAUAAGCAAGAUGAAAGUUUGCUCAGCUGAAAUGGGAAGAAUGGAUGCACUACCUGAUCAUCCAUUAACCCCUUUUCUCUCUCAUAUGUCCGUCUUCCCAAGCCUGUGCUACAUACAGACAACACAGACGAGUGAUUGUUAGGUGGCUUUAUUGGAAGCACUGCAGUCUGGACCUGAAGAGGCUGUGAUCUUGCCACACUCACCCUUUUGCUCACACUCACAUUGAUACUCCUGCCCUGGUUGAGUCUGGUCUGGUGCAGAGCAGCCUGGUCUUCCCUUCUGGUCCUUGGUUCUCCAGGCCAAGGAGAUUCCCUUCACUCAGGCACAUGGCUUCAUCUGGUGUUGUCAUGGUUUAACCACUGUGGAGCUUGACUCUUCAGGAGAAAGGAGAGGCACAGUCCUGGGAUGGGUAGAAUCUUCAAUAGGGCCUUAGAAGUUGGAGGCAGGUCCAACGAGGACAGGUUUUGCCUUUGCAAAGGACUUCUUCAGUAUUUGGAUGAUGUGACACACCCUGGGCCAACCUGGGUUGCCUAGAGCUGAUGGACUCUCAGUUUGGUGAAUCUGGAGUCAGAGGUCAGAGAGAAUGGAGUCCUGGAAUCCAGCUUCCUAGAAGGCUGUAGUGUGAGGGGCAAAGAUGGGCAUUUAUCCCUGGUUCAUGAGAAUGCUAAACCUUUGGUACAUAUGGUCCCUGACUCAUGAUGAUUUGACUUAAGAAUUUUUAACUUUAUAAUGGUGCAAAAGGUAUAUGCAUUCAGUGGAAUGCAUACUUCAAAUUUUGAAGUUUGAUCUUUUCCUAUCCCAGUGAUAACGUGACACAGUACUCUUUUUGGGGUGCUGGACAGUGGCAAUAAGCCCCAACUCCCAGGUGGUCAUGUGAUCAUGAAGAUACAUAACUAAUACUCUGCAGUGUACUGUAUAAACUGAUACUUAGCAGGUUGGGCAAAUUAAAUGCAUUUUUGAUGUAGGAUAUGUUCAACUUAUGAUAGGUUUUUAGGGACAUAACCCCAAUGGAAGUUUAGGAGCAUUUAGGAGCAUAUGUAAAAAAAGUGUCUUAGAUAUUCAUGAGCCCUUUGGAUGAUUUUAUGCUGAAAGAUGAGAUGACUCAGAAUGGGGACUCAUCACCAUAAAGACCAAUCAUAUGGUUAGAGGGUUGGAACUUUAAGUCAGCCAGACCCUAGAGAAGGAGAGAGAGGCUGGAGAUUGAGUUCAGUAUGUGGGCAACAGUUCAACCAAGGCUAUGUAAUGCUAUCUCAAUAAAAACUGACCACCAAAGCUCACAGAAUUUCCUGGUUGGUAAACAUAUUGAUGUGUCAGGAGGGCAAUGUAUAUCCUAUGUCCCCAGUGAAAGCAUGAAAGCCCUGCAUUUGGCAUUCUCCCAGACUUUAUCCCGUGUGUCUCUUCAUUUGGACGUUACUGACUUACACCUUUUAUAAACAAUUGUAAACAUGG
Long non-coding RNA from Sciurus carolinensis (gray squirrel), 1998 nucleotides. RefSeq lists it as uncharacterized. The record is from RefSeq and is a predicted model, not a curated record. NCBI's taxonomy places the organism in Eukaryota, Metazoa, Chordata, Mammalia, Rodentia, Sciuridae. The transcript is spliced from 2 exons.